Molecule: ribosomal RNA, 253 nt
Filed under: uncultured bacterium
Lineage: Bacteria
Description: partial 16S ribosomal RNA
Rfam family: Bacterial small subunit ribosomal RNA
Source: RNAcentral
GACAGAGGGUGCAAACGUUGUUCGGAAUCACUGGGCGUAAAGCGCGUGUAGGCGGCUUGGCAAGUCGGAUGUGAAAUCCCACGGCUCAACCAUGGAAGUGCAUUCGAAACUGCCAGACUAGAGUCCUGGAGAGGAAGGCGGAAUACUUGGUGUAGAGGUGAAAUUCGUAGAUAUCGAGUGGAACACCGGUGGCGAAGGCGGCCUUCUGGACAGUGACUGACGCUGAAACGCGAAAGCGUGGGGAGCAAACAGG